This 541-nucleotide ribosomal RNA is filed under the name uncultured fungus. Its description in RNAcentral is "eukaryotic LSU rRNA". It matches the Rfam family "Eukaryotic large subunit ribosomal RNA", at positions 69 to 634 of the family's 3401-position model. Lineage: Eukaryota; Fungi. The record is from RNAcentral.
CAGGGAUUGCCCCAGUAACGGCGAGUGAAGCGGCAACAGCUCAAAUUUGAAAUCUGGCCCCAGGCCCGAGUUGUAAUUUGCAGAGGAUGCUUUUGGCGCGGUGCCUUCCGAGUUCCCUGGAACGGGACGCCAUAGAGGGUGAGAGCCCCGUACGGUUGGACACCAAGCCUUUGUAAAGCUCCUUCGACGAGUCGAGUAGUUUGGGAAUGCUGCUCUAAAUGGGAGGUACAUUUCUUCUAAAGCUAAAUAUUGGCCAGAGACCGAUAGCGCACAAGUAGAGUGAUCGAAAGAUGAAAAGCACUUUGAAAAGAGGGUUAAACAGCACGUGAAAUUGUUAAAAGGGAAGCGCUUGUGACCAGACUUGCGUCCGGUGAAUCACCCAGCUCUCACGGCUGGGGCACUUCGCCGGCACAGGCCAGCAUCAGCUUGCCGUCGGGGACAAAAGCUUCAGGAACGUGGCUCCUCUCGGGGAGUGUUAUAGCCUGUUGCACAAUACCCUUCGGCGGGCUGAGGUACGCGCUCCGCAAGGAUGCUGGCGUAA